CACGGAGGGGGCUAGCGUUGCUCGGAAUCACUGGGCGUAAAGGGUGCGUAGGCGGGUCUUUAAGUCAGGGGUGAAAUCCUGGAGCUCAACUCCAGAACUGCCUUUGAUACUGAAGAUCUUGAGUUCGGGAGAGGUGAGUGGAACUGCGAGUGUAGAGGUGAAAUUCGUAGAUAUUCGCAAGAACACCAGUGGCGAAGGCGGCUCACUGGCCCGAUACUGACGCUGAGGCACGAAAGCGUGGGGAGCAAACAGG
This 253-nucleotide ribosomal RNA is filed under the name uncultured bacterium. Its description in RNAcentral is "partial 16S ribosomal RNA". It matches the Rfam family "Bacterial small subunit ribosomal RNA", at positions 524 to 776 of the family's 1533-position model. The record is from RNAcentral.